Molecule: non-coding RNA, 112 nt
Filed under: Ditylum brightwellii
Lineage: Eukaryota; Bacillariophyta; Thalassiosirophyceae; Lithodesmiales; Lithodesmiaceae
Source: RNAcentral
UUUAAAAUCCAUUUUGGAUUCUUCCUUUUCCGAUUUCUCCAAGAAGGCGCAUCCCACACAAAAACAAGAAGACCUGUAUGGCUCGUUGGAUUUAAAAGAAAUGAUGAAUUCU